RNAcentral lists this long non-coding RNA (501 nucleotides) under Lytechinus variegatus (green sea urchin). RNAcentral describes it as "uncharacterized LOC121424183". Lineage: Eukaryota; Metazoa; Echinodermata; Echinoidea; Temnopleuroida; Toxopneustidae. The record is from RNAcentral.
UUGCAUAAAAAUUUAUGUCAUAAUGACAUAAAUUUCGAUCGUGACAUAAAAUCAUGCAUAGCUUAUGUCGUUGACAUAAAUUUCGUUGCAUAAAAAUAUUUAUGUAUUGUUUUAGCUUAUGACGCGAUUUAAUCAUCAUUACAUAAACUGAAUAGUCAUGAACGAGCCUGUUGACAUAAACUUGGCAUAAGUUGUCAUUUUUCAGCCGCAGGAAGCUCUUGCGAAAAAGGGUCUUCGGCUUUCUAUUUGGACGGGAUAGAGGCCUAUUUUGGUGACCCACACAAACGGUGAGAAGAGGUAAAGAGAGAAAGGGGCACAGCAACUGGAAGGAGAGGGAAGUCCAGACACUCUACCACUGUCUGCGAUUGAAUAAGAAAUUUCUCUUUGGAUCAGGGGGUCAAGCUUCUAGUAUGAAGAUUGUUCAAGACUCAAGACUGUUGAAGAGGUGACGUCAUGGACCUGGUAGCACCUGGCAAGGGAACUAAAUUAUAUUACUGUUCA